RNAcentral lists this ribosomal RNA (1470 nucleotides) under metagenome. RNAcentral describes it as "bacterial SSU rRNA". It matches the Rfam family "Bacterial small subunit ribosomal RNA". The record is from RNAcentral.
AGAGUUUGAUCCUGGCUCAGGACGAACGCUGGCGGCACGCUUAACACAUGCAAGUCGAACGAGAGAAGAGGAGCUUGCUUUUCUGAUCUAGUGGCGGACGGGUGAGUAACACGUGAGCAAUCUGCCUUUCAGAGGGGGAUACCGAUUGGAAACGAUCGUUAAUACCGCAUAACAUAAUUGAACCGCAUGAUUUGAUUAUCAAAGAUUUAUCGCUGAAAGAUGAGCUCGCGUCUGAUUAGCUAGUUGGUAAGGUAACGGCUUACCAAGGCGACGAUCAGUAGCCGGACUGAGAGGUUGAUCGGCCACAUUGGGACUGAGACACGGCCCAGACUCCUACGGGAGGCAGCAGUGGGGAAUAUUGCACAAUGGAGGAAGCUCUGAUGCAGCGAUGCCGCGUGAGGGAAGAAGGUUUUAGGAUUGUAAACCUCUGUCUUCAGGGACGAAAAAAGACGGUACCUGAGGAGGAAGCUCCGGCUAACUACGUGCCAGCAGCCGCGGUAAUACGUAGGGAGCGAGCGUUGUCCGGAAUUACUGGGUGUAAAGGGAGCGUAGGCGGGAUCGCAAGUCAGAUGUGAAAACUAUGGGCUUAACCCAUAAACUGCAUUUGAAACUGUGGUUCUUGAGUGAAGUAGAGGUAAGCGGAAUUCCUAGUGUAGCGGUGAAAUGCGUAGAUAUUAGGAGGAACAUCAGUGGCGAAGGCGGCUUACUGGGCUUUAACUGACGCUGAGGCUCGAAAGCGUGGGGAGCAAACAGGAUUAGAUACCCUGGUAGUCCACGCCGUAAACGAUGAUUACUAGGUGUGGGGGGACUGACCCCUUCCGUGCCGCAGCAAACGCAAUAAGUAAUCCACCUGGGGAGUACGACCGCAAGGUUGAAACUCAAAGGAAUUGACGGGGGCCCGCACAAGCAGUGGAGUAUGUGGAUUAAUUCGAAGCAACGCGAAGAACCUUACCAGGUCUUGACAUCGUAUGCAUAGCUCAGAGAUGAGUGAAAUCUCUUCGGAGACAUAUAGACAGGUGGUGCAUGGUUGUCGUCGGCUCGUGUCGUGAGAUGUUGGGUUAAGUCCCGCAACGAGCGCAACCCUUACUGUUAGUUGCUACGCAAGAGCACUCUAGCAGGACUGCCGUUGACAAAACGGAGGAAGGUGGGGAUGACGUCAAAUCAUCAUGCCCCUUAUGACCUGGGCCUCACACGUACUACAAUGGCUGUCAACAGAGGGAAGCAAAGCCGCGAGGUGGAGCGAACCCCUAAAAGCAGUCUUAGUUCGGAUUGUAGGCUGCAACCCGCCUACAUGAAGUCGGAAUUGCUAGUAAUCGCAGAUCAGCAUGCUGCGGUGAAUACGUUCCCGGGCCUUGUACACACCGCCCGUCACGCCAUGGGAGUCGGUAACACCCGAAGCCUGUAGUCUAACCGCAAGGAGGACGCAGUCGAAGGUGGGAUUGAUGACUGGGGUGAAGUCGUAAAAAGGUA